CACUCCUGCGGGAGGCAGCAGUGAGGAAUAUUGGACAAUGGGUGGAAGCCUGAUCCAGCCAUCCCGCGUGCAGGAAGACGGCCCUAUGGGUUGUAAACUGCUUUUAUCUGGGGAUAAACCUACUUACGUGUAAGUAGCUGAAGGUACCAGAAGAAUAAGCACCGGCUAACUCCGUGCCAGCAGCCGCGGUAAUACGGAGGGUGCAAGCGUUAUCCGGAUUUAUUGGGUUUAAAGGGUCCGUAGGCGGACUGAUAAGUCAGUGGUGAAAUCCGACAGCUUAACUGUCGAACUGCCAUUGAUACUGUUAGUCUUGAGUAAGGUUGAAGUGGCUGGAAUAAGUAGUGUAGCGGUGAAAUGCAUAGAUAUUACUUAGAACACCAAUUGCGAAGGCAGGUCACUAAGUCUUAACUGACGCUGAUGGACGAAAGCGUGGGGAGCGAACAGGAUUAGAAACCCCGGUAGUCCCAU
This 468-nucleotide ribosomal RNA is filed under the name uncultured organism. RNAcentral describes it as "partial 16S ribosomal RNA". It matches the Rfam family "Bacterial small subunit ribosomal RNA", at positions 334 to 798 of the family's 1533-position model. The record is from RNAcentral.